Molecule: non-coding RNA, 70 nt
Organism: Halocaridina rubra (Hawaiian volcano shrimp)
Lineage: Eukaryota; Metazoa; Arthropoda; Malacostraca; Decapoda; Atyidae
Source: the annotation of a GenBank genome assembly
UCCUUAGCUCAAUGGAUCAGUGUCUGGCUCCCACUCAGGAGGUCCAGAGUUCGACUCCUCGAAGGCUGAU